GAUGAACGCUGGCGGCGUGCUUAACACAUGCAAGUCGAACGAAGCACUUUAUUUGAUUUCCUUCGGGACUGAUUAUUUUGUGACUGAGUGGCGGACGGGUGAGUAACGCGUGGGUAACCUGCCUUGUACAGGGGGAUAACAGUUGGAAACGGCUGCUAAUACCGCAUAAGCGCACGGCAUCGCAUGAUGCAGUGUGAAAAACUCCGGUGGUAUAAGAUGGACCCGCGUUGGAUUAGCUAGUUGGUGAGGUAACGGCCCACCAAGGCGACGAUCCAUAGCCGACCAGAGAGGGUGACCGGCCACAUUGGGACUGAGACACGGCCCAAACUCCUACGGGAGGCAGCAGUGGGGAAUAUUGCACAAUGGGCGAAAGCCUGAUGCAGCGACGCCGCGUGAGCGAAGAAGUAUUUCGGUAUGUAAAGCUCUAUCAGCAGGGAAGAUAAUGACGGUACCUGACUAAGAAGCACCGGCUAAAUACGUA
This 481-nucleotide ribosomal RNA is filed under the name uncultured bacterium. Its description in RNAcentral is "partial 16S ribosomal RNA". It matches the Rfam family "Bacterial small subunit ribosomal RNA", at positions 28 to 507 of the family's 1533-position model. The record is from RNAcentral.